GCGAACUUGGCGGAAUGGUAGACGCAGGAGACUUAAAAUCUCCAGCCCGUAAGGGCGUGCGGGUUCGAGUCCCGCAGUUCGCA
Molecule: non-coding RNA, 83 nt
Organism: Acetobacter indonesiensis
Lineage: Bacteria; Pseudomonadati; Pseudomonadota; Alphaproteobacteria; Acetobacterales; Acetobacteraceae
Source: Rfam